Molecule: ribosomal RNA, 1168 nt
Filed under: Microbacterium aquimaris
Lineage: Bacteria; Bacillati; Actinomycetota; Actinomycetes; Micrococcales; Microbacteriaceae
Description: bacterial SSU rRNA
Rfam family: Bacterial small subunit ribosomal RNA
Source: RNAcentral
AACGGCGUCUAAUACUGGAUAUGAGCUCUCAUCGCAUGGUGGGGGUUGGAAAGAUUUUUCGGUUUGGGAUGGGCUCGCGGCCUAUCAGCUUGUUGGUGAGGUAAUGGCUCACCAAGGCGUCGACGGGUAGCCGGCCUGAGAGGGUGACCGGCCACACUGGGACUGAGACACGGCCCAGACUCCUACGGGAGGCAGCAGUGGGGAAUAUUGCACAAUGGGCGCAAGCCUGAUGCAGCAACGCCGCGUGAGGGAUGACGGCCUUCGGGUUGUAAACCUCUUUUGGUAGGGAAGAAGCCUUCGGGUGACGGUACCUGCAGAAAAAGCGCCGGCUAACUACGUGCCAGCAGCCGCGGUAAUACGUAGGGCGCAAGCGUUAUCCGGAAUUAUUGGGCGUAAAGAGCUCGUAGGCGGUCUGUCGCGUCUGCUGUGAAAUUCCGAGGCUCAACCUCGGGCUUGCAGUGGGUACGGGCAGACUAGAGUGCGGUAGGGGAGAUUGGAAUUCCUGGUGUAGCGGUGGAAUGCGCAGAUAUCAGGAGGAACACCGAUGGCGAAGGCAGAUCUCUGGGCCGUUACUGACGCUGAGGAGCGAAAGGGUGGGGAGCAAACAGGCUUAGAUACCCUGGUAGUCCACCCCGUAAACGUUGGGAACUAGUUGUGGGGUCCUUUCCACGGAUUCCGUGACGUAGCUAACGCAUUAAGUUCCCCGCCUGGGGAGUACGGCCGCAAGGCUAAAACUCAAAGGAAUUGACGGGGACCCGCACAAGCGGCGGAGCAUGCGGAUUAAUUCGAUGCAACGCGAAGAACCUUACCAAGGCUUGACAUACGCCAGAACGGGCCAGAAAUGGUCAACUCUUUGGACACUGGUGAACAGGUGGUGCAUGGUUGUCGUCAGCUCGUGUCGUGAGAUGUUGGGUUAAGUCCCGCAACGAGCGCAACCCUCGUUCUAUGUUGCCAGCACGUUAUGGUGGGAACUCAUGGGAUACUGCCGGGGUCAACUCGGAGGAAGGUGGGGAUGACGUCAAAUCAUCAUGCCCCUUAUGUCUUGGGCUUCACGCAUGCUACAAUGGCCGGUACAAUGGGCUGCGAUACCGCGAGGUGGAGCGAAUCCCAAAAAGCCGGUCCCAGUUCGGAUUGAGGUCUGCAACUCGACCUCAUGAAGUCGGAGUCG